CAUAAAAACAAUCAUCGCUUUUCUUUAACUAUACAGAUUAGUAUUUAUCAAAAGCACUCCACAGCUAAAACCAAAACCCUUCCCACGUUCUACGACUUCUACCUCUUCCUUCCUUCUCCCACCACGAUUUAAACGGUUAAGGAUCUAUUCCCAAUCGAAUUCAAGAGUUUAAUCCCAAUCCGAAUUCAAAAUUUUAAUCCCAAUCCAACUCGACUCAAAGCGAAAUUUCUCAAAUCCAAAUUUACAGAUUUCACUUCAAUCUAAAUCCAGAUAUUUUCUUAUUUAUCUUCUUCUCCAUCGAAUGCUUCUCGGCGGAGAUUAAUAUCUGGCGAACAUUUUUCCCGGCUUCUUGUGGUUGAAUUAUCAAUUGGUUUUCCACCAUUACCGAUUUAGGAGUUUGUUCAGCAUCUAACACCUUCUCAAUCGAGUGUCCUGCACAAGGUAUUACGGCUUGCUCGGAAACUAUGAGAUUUUCUUCUUGUUGGAAUCCAUACUGUCCAGACUGUCAGUUGCUUCAGGAAGCACAUUUUGGUGAGACAAACACAGGAAAUCAGAUUGCAGAGCAGCCUCAUGCAUUAUACGAAGUACUAAACAAAACACAAGCUUUUUGAUUGGAAGGGAUAGUAUGUAGGAUGAUUGCCGCACUCCUAGCGAGAUUGGCCAACGGUCACAUGACAACAUAUAGCUCAACAUAAUAAAAAGUGUCCUCGGCAAAAGAAUGUCAUGGAUUCUGGAUAUUAUGUCAUGAGAUACAUGAAGAUUACUUUCAUGAUUGCAAUGUUCCGAAUUAUGAUCAAGGACAAAUUGAUGAAGUCAGAGCUCAAUGGACGCGUCAUGUUCUUCUCGUGUGAAUAUUGCGAUGCAUAAUUAUGUUUUUCGACUAGAAUUUCUCUAGAACGUUUUAAUUUAAUUUUAUUGGUUUGAAAUUAAAAGAAGUACUAUAUGAAAACGAUACUUCUUUCUGUUUUCUAGUGUGUUUUUAUUGUACUGUGUAUUUAGGCAUAUAUGAUUUUAAGUUAUGUACGAGACAUCGAGACGUUUAUUUGAUAUGAUAGAAAUGAAGUUGGAUCUUAUAUAUAUUCAAUUUGAUUA
Molecule: long non-coding RNA, 1092 nt
Organism: Spinacia oleracea (spinach)
Lineage: Eukaryota; Viridiplantae; Streptophyta; Magnoliopsida; Caryophyllales; Amaranthaceae
Exons: 7
Source: RefSeq, a predicted model, not a curated record